This is a non-coding RNA of Tatumella ptyseos ATCC 33301, 364 nucleotides long. It matches the Rfam family "transfer-messenger RNA". From Rfam's summary of the family: Bacterial tmRNA, also known as 10Sa RNA or SsrA, is named for its dual tRNA and mRNA-like properties. Its role is to liberate the mRNA from a stalled ribosome. The record is from Rfam. Lineage: Bacteria; Pseudomonadati; Pseudomonadota; Gammaproteobacteria; Enterobacterales; Erwiniaceae.
GGGGCUGAUUCUGGAUUCGACGGGAUUUGCGAAGCCCAAGGAGCAUGCCGAGGGGCGGUUGGCCUCGUAAAAAGCCGCAAAAAAAUAGUCGCAAACGACGAAAACUACGCACUAGCAGCUUAAUAACCUGCUCAGAGCCCUCUCUCCCUAGCCUCCGCUCUUAGGACGGGGAUCAAGAGAGGUCAAACCCAAAAGAGAUCGUGUGGAUACCCUGCCUGGGGUUGAAGCAUUAAAUUUAAUCAGGCUAGUUUGUUAGUGGCGUGUCCAUCCGCAGCUGACAAGCGAAUGUAAAGAUUGGACUAAGCAUGUAGUGCCGACGGUGUAGUAAUUUCGGACGCGGGUUCAACUCCCGCCAGCUCCACCA